This 412-nucleotide ribosomal RNA is filed under the name uncultured bacterium. RNAcentral's name for it is "bacterial SSU rRNA". It matches the Rfam family "Bacterial small subunit ribosomal RNA", at positions 29 to 460 of the family's 1533-position model. The record is from RNAcentral.
AACGAACGCUGGCGGCAUGCCUAACACAUGCAAGUCGAACGAAGCCUUCGGGCUUAGUGGCGCACGGGUGCGUAACACGUGGGAAUCUGCCCUUUGGUUCGGAAUAACAGGUAGAAAUGACUGCUAAUACCGGAUAAUGACGUAAGUCCAAAGAUUUAUCGCCGAAGGAUGAGCCCGCGUAGGAUUAGGUAGUUGGUGGGGUAAUGGCCCACCAAGCCGACGAUCCUUAGCUGGUCUGAGAGGAUGAUCAGCCACACUGGGACUGAGACACGGCCCAGACUCCUACGGGAGGCAGCAGUGGGGAAUAUUGGACAAUGGGCGGAAAGACCUGAUCCAGCAAUAGCCGCGUGAGUGAUGAAGGCCUUAGGGUUGGUUAAAGACUCUUUUACCUACGGGAUGAUAAUAGUACAGU